CCUAAAGCGGCGAUGGCUUUGUGCUCCAGGAUCUCCGCCUUCUGCUCGGGUGUGAGCAGCGUGUUUGACACCAUCGCUUUUGCCACAGCUUCAAUGGGGAUGGCCAUGGACGUAGAGCACACAGAGGUGAGGCCAUUGAAGAAUUUCCUGGCCAGCCACUCCGCAGGACGACUCUCCUGCCUGUCGACCAACAACACCCUACGGGGGGAGAAACACAGAGAAAGAAAUCAAGCUGUAAUGUAUCACAAGCAGCAGACAGGAGUCCUGAUCAUCCUGAGUGGGUCUGCGUCGCUGUCGCUCUGUGGGGGCUCCUUCCUGACUCCCUCCCUUGGAGCAGAGUAACCAUCAAACCCGACGUCCUCUGGGCGGAGCUGCAGCAGCGGGGGCCAUUCAGACGGAGUCGGUGUGGCUGACCACGGCAUGUACGGGAUGAUGGAGUAAUUCCAGAGGUCGGUGAACCAAACUCUGGAUCCCUCCACGUCCAUGGGACAGGACAGGAAGAGACGAGGUCCUGUGUGCAGCAGAGCGGACGUGAAGCGGUUGAGGUGGUGCCAGACCCGCGGGAUCCAGUCGAUGAUCUUCACCAGCUCCAUGUUACGCGUCCGGCUGCCGAUCUCUGUCUCGAUCAGCUUCCUCCUCAGGUAGCGACCCAGGAAGCCUUUCACUGGCUCCAUGUGGUUGGCACAGAGCACCCACCUGAGCAGAGAGGA
Molecule: long non-coding RNA, 710 nt
Organism: Notolabrus celidotus (New Zealand spotty)
Lineage: Eukaryota; Metazoa; Chordata; Actinopteri; Labriformes; Labridae
Exons: 5
Source: RefSeq, a predicted model, not a curated record